RNAcentral lists this ribosomal RNA (494 nucleotides) under uncultured bacterium. Its description in RNAcentral is "bacterial SSU rRNA". It matches the Rfam family "Bacterial small subunit ribosomal RNA", at positions 28 to 511 of the family's 1533-position model. The record is from RNAcentral.
GAUGAACGCUAGCGACAGGCCUAACACAUGCAAGUCGAGGGGCAGCACAAUGCGUAGCAAUACAAAUGGUGGCGACCGGCGCACGGGUGAGUAACACGUAUGCAACCUACCUAUAAGUGGGGAAUAACCCGGAGAAAUCCGGACUAAUACCGCAUAAUACUUGUUAAUCUGCAUGGAUUACAAGUUAAACAUUUAUGGCUUAUAGAUGGGCAUGCGUAUGAUUAGUUAGUUGGUGAGGUAACGGCUCACCAAGACAUCGAUCAUUAGGGGUUCUGAGAGGAAGGUCCCCCACACUGGUACUGAGACACGGACCAGACUCCUACGGGAGGCAGCAGUGAGGAAUAUUGGUCAAUGGGGGGAACCCUGAUCCAGCCAUGCCGCGUGAGGGAAGAAGGUCCUCUGGAUUGUAAACCUCUUUUUGGCAGGAAACAAACCUGCGCUAUACGCGCAGCUGAGGGUACCUGCAGAAUAAGCACCGGCUAACUCCGUGCCAG